Long non-coding RNA from Tachyglossus aculeatus (Australian echidna), 4277 nucleotides. RefSeq lists it as uncharacterized. Lineage: Eukaryota; Metazoa; Chordata; Mammalia; Monotremata; Tachyglossidae. The transcript is spliced from 3 exons. The record is from RefSeq and is a predicted model, not a curated record.
UCCAGAUUUUUUUUUCUAAGGUCUUCAAGGCCUGAAAAGAUAGUAUACGAUAUUCCAAAAGGAGAAUUUUGCUCCAUGUAAAAACUGUCCUGCUCAUUGUUCAUCCCAAGGUCUUUAAGGCCAUAGAAGAGAUUACAUAUGAGAUGAUAAAGUAUGAUUUGCUUCAUGCAAACAAUCACCAGCUUUUAUGUCUCCAUACUAGGUCUUCAAGGCCUUAAAAGAGACUAUUUCAUGUGAACAAAGGGAGAAAUUUGCUUCAUGCAGAUAGACUUCCUGUGCAUUACUCCACCUCUGGCCUUCAAGGCCUUGAAAUUGAGAGUGAACAGAGAAAUCUGAGGUGCAGAAGGAGACAUUUGAUUCAUGCAAACAGGUUCCAGCUUAUAUGUCUCUAUACUAGGUCUUCAAGGCCUUAAAAGAGAGUAUUUUAGCUGAGAAGGGGGAGAAGUUUGCUUCAUGCAGAUAGACUUCCUGGGCAUUCCUCCACCUUAGGCCUUCAAGGCCAUUUAAUUGAGAAUGAACAGAGAAUAUCUGAGAUGCCAAAGGAGAAAUUUGCUACAUGCAAGCCAUGUCCAGCUUUUAUUUCUCUACCUCAGGUCUCCAAGGCCAGUAAAGAGAUUAUUUGAGGUGAAAAAGGAGAAAUGUGCUUCGUACAAAGCAUCUGCAGCUUUGAUAUCUCUUCUGAAGGUCUUUAAGGCCUCCAAAGAGAAUAUUUGAGGCGGAAAGGGAGAAAUUUGCUUCAUGCAUACAAUCUCCAGCUUUUAGGCCUUUUUCUAAGGUGUUCAAGGCCCUGAAAGAGAACAGUUGCGGUGAAAAUAGAGAAAUGUACUUUAUGCAUACAGUCUCCAAGGUCUUCAAGGCCUCAAAAGAAAAUGUUUGGGGGCUUAAAAGGAAACAAUCACCAGCUUUUACUUCUUUCUCUAAGGUGUUCAAGGCCGUAAAAAAGAACAUUCGCAGUGAAAAAGGAGAAAUUUGCUUCCUAUAGACAAUCUCCAUGUUUUAUUUCUCCAAGGUCUUCAAGGCCGCAAACGAAACCGUUUGGGACUUCAAAAGAGAAAUUGGCUUCAUGAAAACCAUCUCCCGCUUUCAUUUCUCUACUAACGUACGGUCUUCACGACCCACAAACAGAAUAUUUAUCUCAGAAAAGGACAAGGUUUCUUCAUGCAGACAAUCUCCUGCUUCUGUGUCUCCUAAGGGCCAGAAAAGGCAAUAUAUGGGGUUAAAAGGGGAGAAAUUUGCUUCAUGCAAACACUUUCCUACUGAUCCCUCUAAGGUCAUCAAGACCUGAAGAGAAAAUGUAUGAACUGAUAAAGGAGACAUUGGUUUCAUGCAUAAAUAUCAACUCUUGUGCAUUAGUCCAUUUCAGGUCUUCAAGGCCUUUGAAUAAAGAGUGGAUAGAGAAAAUCUCAUAUGAAAAAUGUGGGAUUUGCUUCAUGUACACUAUCUCCUGCUUUGAUGUCUUUACCCUGAGGUCUUCAAGGCCAGAAAAGAGAAUAUUUGGGUUGAAAAAGAUAAAUUUGCUUCAUUUGGACAAAUUUCCUUUGCGUUAUGCCACCUCUCGUUUUAAGGCGUUUUCAGUUGAGAAGGAAUGCAGACUAUCCAGUGAGCAAGAGAAAUAAUUUUCCUUCAUGGAAAAAAGAAAUCCACUUAUUUCUCUACCUACUGUUUUCAGGGCCUGGAAAGAGAAUACACAUGAGCUGGAAAAGGAGACGUUUUACUUCAUGCCAAAAAUGUUACCGUUUGGUACUCCACCUAAGGCCUUCAAGGCCUUUAGUUGAGAAUUUAGAGAGAACAUGCAAGGUGGAAAAGGAGAAAUGUACUCCAUGCAAACAGUGUCCUGCUUUUCAAGGCAUGAGGAGAGAAUGUAGGAGAUUGAAAAAGAAGCAGUUGGAUGUAUCCAACAAGUCACCUGAUCAUUUUUCUACCUUAGGGUCUUCAAGGCCUGAAGAGAAAAUAUACGAACUGGAAAACGAGAAAUGUGUUUCCGUACAGACACAUCUCCUGUGCAUUAGUUCACCUCAGGCCUUCAAGGUCUUUUUAUUGAGAGUGGGUCAAGAUUAAUUGAGGUGAAAAAGGAGAAGUGUACUUCAUGCAAACAACCUACUGCUUUUAUUUCUCUACGCAGGUCUUCAAGGCCUGAAAAGAGAAUACCUGAAGUGGGGAAAGAGAAAUUUGCUCUAUGCAAAAAACUUUCCCAUCGGUGAGUCCACAUGCGAUCUGCAAGGCCUAAAGAGAAAAGAUAGGAGCUGGAAAAGGAUAAAUUUUCUUCACACACAAAUGUCUCCCGAAUGUAAAUCUACCUUGCAGCCUUCAAGGCCUUUCGAUAGAGAAUGAUUAAGGUAUUCUUGAGGUGGAAAAGGAGAAAUUUGCUUCAUGCAAAAAAACCUCCUGCUUUUCUCUACCUAAGGUCUUCAAGGCCUGAAAAGAGAAUAUUUGAGGUAGAAAAGGGGAAAUUUGCUUCAUGCGAAACAUCUCCACGCUUGAAUUUCUCUAACGUAAACUCCUGUAAGACCGGCCUAGAAAAUAUAGAUGUGGGAAAGGAGUUAUUUGCUUUAUGCAAGAAAAAGAAAAUCUCCUGCUUAUUUCUCUACCCGUAGCCACCACAGCCUGCAAAGAGAACAUUUGAGGAGUUAAAGGAGAUAUGAUUCACAUGCUAAUUUCAUCUUUUUUUUAACCUCAUCCUUCAAGUCCUGUAUCUUGUGACAGAGAAAACAUACUAUUCUUGGCGUGAAAAGGAGAAAUUUUCUUCCUGCCAAAUUAUCCCCUUUAUUUUGCCACCAAAGGCUUUGCCUUCCAUAGCCUUUCAAUUAGGAGAGAAAAGAAAAUAUUUGGGACUAAAGAAAAGGGCAAAGGUUUUAUCAUGCCAACAAACAUCCUCCUUCUCACAUCACCUCAGGCCUUUAAGGCCCUUCAGUUGAGAGUUGAGAUGACAAAGGAGGAAUGUGCUUCUUGCCAGUCAAUCUGCCAUGUAUUUUUCCACCUUAGGUCUUCAAGGCCUUUUACUAGAUGGUGGAGACGGACUAACUGGAUUUCAAAACAGAGAGACUAGAUCCAUGCACAUUCUAACUGGCUCCAUGCAGAUAGCUAACUGUGUGUCCUCCUGAGCUGUCUUCAGGCUCCACCCCUGGUCUUUAUGGCUUGGGCUGUUGCAGAGAGCACAGAGGUAGGAAUGUAGGUGAAGAGCUUCAUGCUAAUCCCCAACCCCGUAAUCCCUGAAAGGGUUUUCACUUUGUCCUUCCACUCUGCCUGCUCUUCCCUCGCAACCUUGGACCAAGUCAACAAACCACUCUGUGGCACCUAACCAGAUUCAGCGUCCUAAGAGCUGAGAUGGUUUAGUGUGGAAAUGAUGGAGAAUGAAACAGGGCCAGCUAGCACUACUCAAGAAAAGCUCCAUUUCUUCCAUCGAGUGUUCACCUCUAGAAGAGUAGAGAAUGAAGGAAAAUCCAAUGAUCGUUGGGUUUGGAGAAAAUCCGGCUACCGGUUAAGAGAAAACUGUUCUGGACCUGAGGUUCAGUCUGGAUCCUCUGGUCCAGGAUGUUAGAGGGUGAUAAAAGAAAAUUUGAGGUGGAGGAGGAGGGGUUUUGCAUCAGCCAAAUUCUUGCAAAACUUAACUUCAUGCAAAACAGCCUCACCUCAGCUGAUCUCUUGUCUUGGGUCUUCAAGGCCCUUGAGGGAGUAGGGAGAAAGUAGCUUUAGGCAAAAAGCUCCCCUUUGGUACAUCGACUCCCGUCCUGGCUACUCUGGCCUUUGUGGUGGGUGGUUGGGAAGGGGGGAAAUCCCCAAAGAAUCUGUACAGGGGCAAACGGGAGAUUCUCUUCAUGCAGAAUCUCCUGAAAAACAUGGUCCAGCUAUGCAAGAAAUCCCCAUUUGGCCUUUAUGGCUGCACUUCUGGACCAAGAAAUUAUCCUCAUAAAUGGCCUGGGAUAUUUCUCUUGUGAGCCUUCUGGGUUUCAGAGAGGUUAGAGCUGAACCCAUUUGACCUUAGAGCCUCAUUUUCCAUGUUCGGAAACUGUCCAGUUUGAUAGGGAAAUACCUUUCAAAAUUCUAUAGUGUUAUGUCAGGAUUACAAUUUCAAACGUGCAUGACAAAAGCACAACAGAGAGAACUCCUUGUCCUCCUCUAAGUCCUGAUUGACCAACUCAGUGUUCAAUGGAAUGUUAUGUUUCUCUCACUCAAAAGAUAUUAAACUACUAAAAGACUUAUGCAGUCCAUCACACCAGCAUUUCAAAUGUCAAUAAAAUAGCCAAAUAUAAUAAAAAUAAACAUAAAACACAACUAAA